UCGGGAAUUUUGGGCAAUGGGGGAAACCCUGACCCAGCAACGCCGCGUGAAGGAUGAAGUAUUUCGGUAUGUAAACUUCGAAAGAAUAGGAAGAAUAAAUGACGGUACUAUUUAUAAGGUCCGGCUAACUACGUGCCAGCAGCCGCGGUAAUACGUAGGGACCAAGCGUUGUUCGGAUUUACUGGGCGUAAAGGGCGCGUAGGCGGCAUGACAAGUCACUUGUGAAAUCUCUGGGCUUAACCCAGAACGGCCAAGUGAUACUGUCGCGCUAGAGUGCAGAAGGGGCAAUCGGAAUUCUUGGUGUAGCGGUGAAAUGCGUAGAUAUCAAGAGGAACACCUGAGGUGAAGACGGGUUGCUGGACUGAUACUGACGCUGAGGCUCGAAAGCGUGGGGAGCAAACAGGAUUAGAUACCCCCGUAGUCCCUGAGCGGGCUGGCAAGGCGCAU
RNAcentral lists this ribosomal RNA (447 nucleotides) under uncultured bacterium. RNAcentral describes it as "bacterial SSU rRNA". It matches the Rfam family "Bacterial small subunit ribosomal RNA", at positions 355 to 825 of the family's 1533-position model. The record is from RNAcentral.